This 322-nucleotide long non-coding RNA is filed under the name Gossypium barbadense (sea-island cotton). RNAcentral's name for it is "long non-coding RNA (GBAR_LNC011835)". The record is from RNAcentral. Lineage: Eukaryota; Viridiplantae; Streptophyta; Magnoliopsida; Malvales; Malvaceae.
GUAACUGUGGUUAUGAAAUGGUACAAUGGUUGAAUUCGGUUGAAUUAAAGUUGACACUGAAGUAUUUAAAUGCCUAUGUCAUAUAUGUGAGUAAGGGUAAAACCAUCGUAAAUUAUCGAUAAGGGUGGGCUAUGUGCGGAACCAUCUUAUAAUUGCUAAUUUGAACAGCUGUGUGCGAAUCAAUGAGCAUGAUGUAUUGUAUUGAGAUUAUGCUUAAGUGAAAUUAUAGAUAUGUGAUGAAAUUGAUUGGUGAUAUACAUGUUUAAAUAAUGUGAAUGCAAAGAAUGUGUGAAAGAGUAAAUUUGUAAUAAAUCUGCUUGGG